GGGCGGGCCGCACCGGGCGGCGGCGGCGGCAGGGGCCGGCAGGGGGGGGCCCGCCUCGCCUCGAGCCCUCCAUGGCGGCCGCUGCCCGCGGCCCCCUCCCCGCCGCCGGCCCCGACGAGGCGGACGAGGCCGUCCGGGGCACCUGUGAGGACGCGUCCGUCUGUAAGAGGUUUGCUGUAAGUGUUGGCUACUGGGAGGACCCCUACAUCCAGUGUUUUGUGAGACAAGCCAAAGAAAGAAAAGCACCUGAAAUCAAUAGAGGUUAUUAUGCUCGUGUUCAUGGGGUCAGUUAUCUGCUUAAGGCCUUUCUAAAGAAAACAGAAUGCAACUGUCAAAUUGUGAAUCUUGGUGCUGGCAUGGAUACCCUCUUCUGGAGAUUAAAGGAUGAAAAUCUUCUCCCUAGAAAAUAUUUUGAAGUGGAUUUCCCAAUGAUAGUUGCAAGAAAAAUACAUAAUAUCAAAUCAAAACCUCCCCUGUCAAAACCAAUUAUAGAAUCCCAUUCAGGGGACUCUCUUCUAAUAGAUUCUCACAGCCUAGACUCCAGUCGUUAUUCCAUAGUAGGAGCAGAUCUUCGUUUCUCAUCAGAUCUGGAGGAAAAGCUAAAGAAACAUAACCUGGACGUACAUUUGCCGACGCUUCUGAUAGCAGAGUGUGUGCUGGUUUACAUGACACCUCAACAAUCUGCAAAUCUCUUAAAAUGGGCAGCAAGCACUUUUCCAGUGGCGAUGUUUAUAAAUUAUGAGCAGGUGAAUAUGACGGAUCGGUUUGGACAGAUCAUGAUUGAGAACUUGCAGAGACGACAGUGUAACCUGGCUGGAGUGGAAGUCUGCAGAUCCUUAGAAGCUCAGAGGGAACGAUUGCUGUUAAAUGGCUGGGAAAAUGCACAUGCCAUUGAUAUGAUGAAAGUGUACAGCUCUUUGCCACAGGCUGACGUCAAAAGUACCCAGGAUGUUUCUUGUGAACAUCCAGCCUCCACAACACCAGAUGGGUGAGGCGGAGUCCUAGGAUACAUUCGGAACAGGCAUCCACUUUUCAUGUCCCCAAGGCGGAGAUGACAUCCAUGUGUUUGCUCCAGUCUUGUAGGCCUACAAUAGAAGAACUUGAAUUCCUAGAUGAAAAGGAACUGUUUGAACAACUAAUGCAGCACUACUGCAUCUGCUGGGCCUCAAAAGACAGCAGUAACCUGGGUCUUGCAGAUAUCGCCUUCUAAUGUACUUGCUCGAAGGAAGCCAUGGGCCCAGAAGCCACAGCUACUGCCUUCUGCUUGAGACAAGAUCACAGAAAUGAUGGGACUCUGCAUGUGCCAAGUCCAGUCUGCUCAUCUGUGUAAGCAGUGCCAGUAAAGAAAACGACUGGUGCUGCUCAUGUUGACUCUCCUGUUGGCUUUUGGUAGUUUUAACAAUUUUUUUUGGCCCAUUGUGAGCAAUUGUUAUGAGGCAAGACUCACUUCCCAUUCCUGGAUAUCUCUAAAUGACAGACUUUUCUAUGUCAGUAAUUCCUGUUUAAAAGCUCACCUUCCUUAGUUUAAAACUGAAAGUAAAGUGUUCUUGGAUUACAUUAUUCCCCUCUUUCACCUUUUUGUGGAUGUGUAAAUUGUAUUUGUGACAGGAAGCUGAAAAAAAUAAAGUUGGUGAGCUGCAUUACUGGAUACCUCUUUGCACUGUGCACGGCUGAUAAUGAAAGUUAAUUUUUGUUCAUUUUCAUUCUGUUCAGGUGUAACUUUUAUGAAGUGUUACCCUAUUAGCUUUCUCCAGGCUUUUAUUGUUGCUACAAGGCUGUCAUUAUAUUUGGUCCCUUUUUGUAGGGGAAAGGAGAAAGAAGAAGAAAAGGGACCAUGCUUCUUGUUCAGUGAUGUACAAGAAACUGGUAAAGCAGACUUUAUUUAACGGGGUAAGACUUAGCUUGUCAGGUCAGCAUGGGAAUUGUAAUGGUAAGAAAGAAAUUAAUCUACAUUUGAACUGCUUCUGGCAGUAUCUUUACACCAGUGUCUCAUUCUUCUUUCUUUCCCCUUAAAAGAAAAUUCCAGCAGCAACAGAACAAACAAACCUGCCCUAUUGUUUGGAAUUGAAUCUUGCAACCUUCUGAUGAGAAAAAUAAUAAAUGUUUAAUAUUUA
Anas platyrhynchos (mallard) is the source of this 2114-nucleotide non-coding RNA. The record is from RefSeq and is a predicted model, not a curated record. Lineage: Eukaryota; Metazoa; Chordata; Aves; Anseriformes; Anatidae.